Molecule: ribosomal RNA, 498 nt
Filed under: uncultured bacterium
Lineage: Bacteria
Description: partial 16S ribosomal RNA
Rfam family: Bacterial small subunit ribosomal RNA
Source: RNAcentral
AUUGAACGCUGGCGGCAUGCCUUACACAUGCAAGUCGAACGGCAGCACGGGGCAACCUGGUGGCGAGUGGCGAACGGGUGAGUAAUGCAUCGGAACGUACCUUUCAGUGGGGGAUAACGUAGCGAAAGUUACGCUAAUACCGCAUAUUCUGUGGGCAGGAAAGCAGGGGAUCGCAAGACCUUGCGCUGAUUGAGCGGCCGAUGUCAGAUUAGCUAGUUGGUGAGGUAAAGGCUCACCAAGGUGACGAUCUGUAGCGGGUCUGAGAGGAUGAUCCGCCACACUGGAACUGAGACACGGUCCAGACUCCUACGGGAGGCAGCAGUGGGGAAUUUUGGACAGUGGGGGCAACCCUGAUCCAGCCAUGCCGCGUGAGUGAAGAAGGCCUUCGGGUUGUAAAGCUCUUUCGGCCGGGAAGAAAUCGCACGGGCUAAUACCCUGUGUGGAUGACGGUACCGGAAUAAGAAGCACCGGCUAACUACGUGCCAGCAGCCGCAGUAA